AGAGAAAGGAAACAAGAGCCAAAAAUUCACCCAGGUAGAGGGUAGGAUGGACCUGUGGUCUGAGUCUGUGUGAUGGUUGUGUGUUUCCCUGCCACCUGGUCUCUAACCGUGAAGAAAGACACAGACCUCUGCCUAAGCUGAAGAAAGGUCAAAACUAGCUUUUCAGGGGGACAGGGGGCAUAGAUAGGACAGCACUGUGGCCUGAACACAUCAUGGUAGAGGACUCAUAGUAGGAGGUGUUGAUGCCCAGCAGAAGGGUUAAAGGGGGAAUGAGUCUCCAACACCAUGUCUGGUUUGUCCGGCCCACCAGCCUGGCAUGGCCCUUGUCCAUUGGCAUUGCUGCUUUUGUUCCUGCUCAGCCCCAGCUUGGUCCUUGCCAUCUCCUUCCAUCUGCCCAUUAAUUCUUGCAAGUGCCUCCAUGAGGAGAUCUACAAGGACCUGCUAGUGACUGGCGCGUAUGAGAUCUCCGACCAGUCUGGGGGCACUGGCGGCCUGCGCAGCCACCUCAAGAUUACAGAUUCUGCUGGCCAUAUUUUCUACUCCAAAGAGGAGGCAACCAAGGGGGAAAUUUUCCUUUACCACUGAAGAUUAUGACGUUUGAAGUGUGUUUUGAGAGCAAGGGAACAGGGCAGAUACCUGACCAACUCGUGAUGCUAGACAUGAAGCAUGGAGUGGAGGCAAAAAAUUAUGAAGAGAUUGCAAAAGUUGCGAAGCUCAAACCAUUAGAGGUGAAGCUGCAACACCUAGAAGACCUUUCAGAAUCUACUGUUAAUGAUUUUGCCUACAUGAAGAAGAGAGGAGAGGAGAUGUGUGAUACCAAUGAGUCAACAAACACUUGGGUCCUAUACUUCAGCAUCUUUUCAAUGUUCUGCCUCAUUGGACUAGCCACCUGGCAGGUCUUCUACCUGCAAUACUUCUUCAAGGCCAAGAAGUUGAUCGAGUAAUGAAUGAGGCAUAUUCUCCUCCCACCUUGUACCUCAGCCAGCAGAACAUCGCUGGGACAUGCCUGGCCUAAGGCAUCCUAUCAGCAGCACCAUCAAGGUGGGUUGGAGCUUUCUUGCCAGAACUGAUCUCUUUUGGUGUGGGAGGACAUGGGGUACCAACCUACACCCAACAAGUCAAUGAGGGACUUCUUUUUAAUUUGGUAGAAUUUUGACUGGUUUUUGCAACAAUAGGUCUAUUAUUAGAGUCACCUAUGACAGAAAGAUAGG
Molecule: RNA transcript, 1211 nt
Organism: Cercocebus atys (sooty mangabey)
Lineage: Eukaryota; Metazoa; Chordata; Mammalia; Primates; Cercopithecidae
Gene name: transmembrane emp24 domain-containing protein 10 pseudogene
Exons: 1
Source: RefSeq, a predicted model, not a curated record